This 169-nucleotide ribosomal RNA is filed under the name uncultured bacterium. RNAcentral's name for it is "partial 16S ribosomal RNA". It matches the Rfam family "Bacterial small subunit ribosomal RNA", at positions 338 to 524 of the family's 1533-position model. The record is from RNAcentral.
CCUACGGGAGGCAGCAGUAGGGAAUUUUCCGCAAUGGGCGAAAGCCUGACGGAGCAACGCCGCGUGCAGGAGGAAGGCCUUCGGGUUGUAAACUGCUUUUAUCUGUGACGAUUUUGACGGUAGCAGAAGAAUAAGGAUCGGCUAAUUCCGUGCCAGCAGCCGCGGUAAU